Molecule: ribosomal RNA, 403 nt
Filed under: Verrucomicrobiota bacterium
Lineage: Bacteria; Pseudomonadati; Verrucomicrobiota
Also listed under: 1 other name
Description: Verrucomicrobia bacterium partial 16S ribosomal RNA
Rfam family: Bacterial small subunit ribosomal RNA
Source: RNAcentral
UGGGGAAUAUUGCACAAUGGAGGGAACUCUGAUGCAGCGACGCCGCGUGAACGAAGAAGGCUUUCGAGUCGUAAAGUUCUUUUAUAUGGGAAGAUAAUGACGGUACCAUAAGAAAAAGCCCCGGCUAACUACGUGCCAGCAGCCGCGGUAAUACGUAGGGGGCUAGCGUUGUCCGGAAUCACUGGGCGUAAAGGGUUCGCAGGCGGAAAUGCAAGUCAGGUGUAAAAGGCAGUAGCUUAACUACUGUAAGCAUUUUAAACUGCAUAUCUUGAGAAGAGUAGAGGUAAGUGGAAUUUUUAGUGUAGCGGUGAAAUGCGUAGAUAUUAAAAAGAAUACCGGUGGCGAAGGCGACUUACUGGGCUCAUUCUGACGCUGAGGAACGAAAGCGUGGGUAGCAAACAGG